CUGGUGUCAACGAAGAGGAUCUGGAGAUGCUUGGUGAAGUAAGCUAAUGCUAAUGUGUGUCUCUCAGGUGUGUGUGUCUCAGGUGUGUCCUUACUUCAGAGCCUCCAGGGACAGUCUGGUUCCUGACAGGCUGACUGUGGUCAGAGCGAGGGCACUGCUGAAGAACUGUUUAAAGGACGACGGGAUCUCUUUACACUUCCUGUACAGAUGGGAAAACCUGUGUUUUGACCUGGUUUGUGUUGGGACAGUGUGUGCGUUUACAGACAGGUGAGAGACCUGUGAGAGAAGACGGUUUUUGACAUGUUGAGGACACGAAGAUGUUUCAAAGAUCCUCUUAGUAAGGAGGAACAUGCCUGAAAAUAAAACACCACAGAAGAAACGUGAACAAUGAGGUUUUCACACACGAUUAAAUAAACAACGUUUACAAACGUGGUGGUCCCUCAGGUGAGCGUCAGGUGUGUGUACCUGCUCCAGACAGCAGUCGCUGUUGGACAGGUCCAGACUCUCCAGACAGUUGGAGUGACUCAGGAAACUCUGGAGGCUCUGGGAAAAGACAAAAUCACACUCAGCGUCUUCGUCCUGCUGGAUCAAUGAAGGUCUGAAUACGGGCGAGCGUCCCACCGGCAGGUCGUCUCCUCUCAGGGAGUUUCCUGACAAGUCCAGAUGUUUGAGCGUGGUGGCCACAGCUGGGUUCGAGCAGAGCGCCUGACAGAGACUGUUUACACCUGAAAGAUGGAGAAAAUCCACCUGAAGAGAAGAACUCACACAACAGGAAGUGUUCCAGUCCUUCUGUGAGUCCACCUUUAGGGGAUGUGGAUGUUCUGGACAGGUUCAGGAGCUUCAGACCCAUGGGAAGUUUGGACAGCUGGGUGCUCAGAGCCGAAAGACCUGCAGGAAGUGACAUCACAUCAGUGAAGCAUUGACCUUUGUGUGUGUGUACCUCUGUCCUCCAGGGAGCUGUUGCUCAGAUUGAGAGUGUGUAUGUUUGUGUGUGCGUGUGUGUGUCACUGUCCUCUAGAGACCUGUGCUCAGAAUGAGAGUGUGUAUGUUUGUGUGUGCGUGUGUGUGUGUGCGCGUGUGUGUGCCACUGUCCUCCAGGGAGUUGUUGCUCAGAUUGAGUGUGUGUGUGUGUGUGUGUGUGUGUGUGCGCACGUGUGUGUACCUCUGUCCUCCAGGGAGUGGUUGCUCAGAUUGAGAGUGUGUGUGUGUGUACCUCUGUCCUCCAGGGAGUUGUUGCUCAGAUUGAGUGUGUGUGUGUGUGUGUGUACCUCUGUCCUCCAGGGAGUGGUUGCUCAGAUUGAGAGUGUGUGUGUGUGUACCUCUGUCCUCCAGGGAGUUGUUGCUCAGAUUGAGAGUGCGUGUGUGUGUACCUCUGUCCUCCAGGCAGUUGUUGCUCAGACUGAGUGUGUGUGUGUGUGUAUACCUCUGUCCUCCAGGGAGUUGUUGCUCAGAUUGAGUGUGUGUGUGUGUGUGUGUGUGUACCUCUGUCCUCCAGGGAGUUGUUGCUCAGACUGAGUGUGUGUGUGUGUGUAUACCUCUGUCCUCCAGGGAGUUGUUGCUCAGAUUGAGUGUGUGUGUGUGUGUUUGUGUGUGUGUCCCUCUGUCCUCCAGGGAGUUGUUGCUCAGAUUGAGUGUGUGUGUGUGUGUUUGUGUGUGUGUCCCUCUGUCCUCCAGGGAGUUGUUGCUCAGAUUGAGUGUGUGUGUGUGUGUUUGUGUACCUCUGUCCUCCAGGGAGUUGUUGCUCAGAUUGAGUGUGUGCAACAUGGAGGCAGGGUUGUGUGACAGAGCAACGGCCAGUUUCUGAGCAAAAUCACUGCAGGUGAAACAACCACGAGAGUGAGUUGAUGACACAAACAGAAUCAAUCCUGCAGCCUCGUCCAGAGAGGAAGAUAAUGAUGAUGAGGAGAGUUUUAGACCUUUUCAGUCCAGCGUUCUCCAGCACCAGUUCUUCCAGCCGACUGGAGCGAGCCACGACCCGGAGGAUCUGCUCACACACGUCUGUGGACUAAAACACUUUCAUCUCAGUCAGACUGUCAGAGAGCAAAUCUGGAUCUGAAUAAACAACAGGAAUUUGUGGUUCAUCUGUCCACAACAAAAACUACUGCUUGAGGAGAAGAAGAGAGAUGGUGAUGCUGGAGAACAUCUGGACCAUAGUGGAGGUUGUACGUCUCCAUUGAUGUAUUGUUUUGUAAUUGAAGCUUUAUUGAUUUUACCAGUUUGUAGUCCUUGCUGGAGACCUUAGUGAACCACUGGUUGUACUCCAGAACUGUGGUGAUGGCCACCAGGUCCCUAGAAAAACAGCAGAAGAAGAGUUAACGGCAGGGAAGUCAGAGCUCCUGUUCUUCACACUCGCACCACCUGUUCUCCAGGUGAAUGAAGUCCUGCAGGUUGAGAUCUCUGGUGUCCUGGGUCAGGUAGAUGGUGUCAACGUCCUGCCACAGGUGAGACAGCGAGACAGGUAAAAAGCUCCACAUGCAACAGACACAUACAGAACAGGCCUAACCUGACCAAACCAGUGCUAAUGUAGCUAAUGCUAAUGCCGGAUGCUACAGAACAGGCCUAACCUGACCAAACCAGUGCUAAUGUAGCUAAUGCUAGCUACAAACAGGCCUAACCUGACCAAACCAGUGCUAAUGUAGCUAAUGCUAAUGCUGGAUGCUACAGAACAGGCCUAACCUGACCAAACCAGUGCUAAUGUAGCUAAUGCCAAUGCUGGAUGCUACAGAACAGGCCUGAAACAGUUGACCAAUCAGAGGGCAGUAAUCAGAUGUCCCUCGUCAUCACAUCCAGGCUAAACUGAAGUGCUGAAAGGUACUGACCCACUGGACCUCCUCUCUGUAUGGAAUACCCAGGAAAUCACACACACACCCGGUACUGAUGAGAGAAGCCUCCUGCAACGAGACAGCACCACUGUCAGAACCUGAAGACACACUCCAGAACCGUUUCCACUGUGACCCACCGCACGGUCCCAGAUCAGCCGGGCCCUGCUCCUCCCAGAGAGCCUGCAGGGCCGCCGUCCUGUCUGGAGGCUUCAAACUCAACUUCUUCAUCAGCUUCCUGCGUCAGAGAGAAACAGAAUGAAGAGAUUCCACAUAGGCGCCAGCGUUCCGGGCCUGUGUCUCGGAGAACCUGAGGUACUCAGUGACUCCGCCCCCCUACUGGCACCUACACAGGUGAUCCUUGGGGGGAGAUCCUCCGGAGACAGCUGCCGAUGUGAGCGAUCACCUCAUCCACCUCCUCGGUGGAGCCCAGGUGGAGGUUCCACAGGCCGCGGUCAUACUGCAGCACCAACUGCAGGGGGCGACACAGAGCGCUGAAUCAUUAAUGAGCUGCAGGACGAGCUGCUCCACAUCUGGUCUGCACACACCUGAGUGGGCUUGUUGCUGCUGAUCCCCUGGAUAUCCAGGUAACUGAAGGAAUGUUCAAGCUGUAAUAAAACAGGGUUAGAGAUUAGGAAACCUAAUCUUGGAUUUCAUCAUGUUUACAAACAAACUGGCGGAUGAAGCAACACACCAGAGCUGUUUCUGGU
This is a long non-coding RNA of Takifugu rubripes (torafugu), 3529 nucleotides long. The record is from Ensembl. Lineage: Eukaryota; Metazoa; Chordata; Actinopteri; Tetraodontiformes; Tetraodontidae.